This 278-nucleotide ribosomal RNA is filed under the name uncultured Pseudomonas sp. RNAcentral describes it as "partial 16S ribosomal RNA". It matches the Rfam family "Bacterial small subunit ribosomal RNA", at positions 1048 to 1325 of the family's 1533-position model. The record is from RNAcentral. Lineage: Bacteria; Pseudomonadati; Pseudomonadota; Gammaproteobacteria; Pseudomonadales; Pseudomonadaceae.
GCUGUCGUCAGCUCGUGUCGUGAGAUGUUGGGUUAAGUCCCGUAACGAGCGCAACCCUUGUCCUUAGUUACCAGCACGUUAUGGUGGGCACUCUAAGGAGACUGCCGGUGACAAACCGGAGGAAGGUGGGGAUGACGUCAAGUCAUCAUGGCCCUUACGGCCUGGGCUACACACGUGCUACAAUGGUCGGUACAGAGGGUUGCCAAGCCGCGAGGUGGAGCUAAUCCCACAAAACCGAUCGUAGUCCGGAUCGCAGUCUGCAACUCGACUGCGUNAAG